This 484-nucleotide ribosomal RNA is filed under the name uncultured bacterium. RNAcentral describes it as "partial 16S ribosomal RNA". It matches the Rfam family "Bacterial small subunit ribosomal RNA", at positions 30 to 507 of the family's 1533-position model. The record is from RNAcentral.
AUUGAACGCUGGCGGCAGGCCUAACACAUGCAAGUCGAGCGGAUGAAGGGAGCUUGCUCCUGGAUUCAGCGGCGGACGGGUGAGUAAUGCCUAGGAAUCUGCCUGGUAGUGGGGGAUAACGUCCGGAAACGGGCGCUAAUACCGCAUACGUCCUGAGGGAGAAAGUGGGGGAUCUUCGGACCUCACGCUAUCAGAUGAGCCUAGGUCGGAUUAGCUAGUUGGUGGGGUAAAGGCCUACCAAGGCGACGAUCCGUAACUGGUCUGAGAGGAUGAUCAGUCACACUGGAACUGAGACACGGUCCAGACUCCUACGGGAGGCAGCAGUGGGGAAUAUUGGACAAUGGGCGAAAGCCUGAUCCAGCCAUGCCGCGUGUGUGAAGAAGGUCUUCGGACUGUAAAGCACUUUAAGUUGGGAGGAAGGGCAGUAAGUUAAUACCUUGCUGUUUUGACGUUACCAACAGAAUAGGCACCGGCUAACUUCGUG